UCGGACGUCUUCGGCGUUC
Molecule: small nuclear RNA, 19 nt
Filed under: Arabidopsis thaliana (thale cress)
Lineage: Eukaryota; Viridiplantae; Streptophyta; Magnoliopsida; Brassicales; Brassicaceae
Description: snRNA_12602
Source: RNAcentral